Long non-coding RNA from Sycon ciliatum, 765 nucleotides. RefSeq lists it as uncharacterized. The record is from RefSeq and is a predicted model, not a curated record. The transcript has 3 exons. Lineage: Eukaryota; Metazoa; Porifera; Calcarea; Leucosolenida; Sycettidae.
GACAAGUGUGCUAAGUGCCAUCAGGAACGCGGCCAUUAUCACCCGAUGGAGCAACAUGGUCGGCGGUGAUUAAAGCUUUGAAGCCAAUGAAGGCACCUGUAGUGUUCACGUGUACCUACGCGCUGUGGCAUUCCUUGGCCACUCCAGACAUUCCGCCCCCUGGACCUUUUCCAAUGUAUGUCUCCCUCUACGAUGCCGCCAUGCGCUGGCCCGCCUGGACAUGGAGUUUCAAACUUUAUCUUGCUGCGUCCAAAAUUAGCGAUGACGACCAACAGCGUGGGCUACUCCAGUACCUGGGAGGAGACGACAUCCAGCAACUCGUGCCCACUCUCAGCAACACAGGGGCAACAUUCGACGACCUCGCCAAAGCGUUGCAGGACGAGUUCGAUAAACACCAAAACAAAAGAACGGCCGAAAGAAGAAGAGCUAGCCGGCACCGGCACGGUAGAGAAAAGAUUUCGCUGCGCGUGUCCUCACUAAGCCGGAGAAGGCUAAACAUCACUGCCGCCCAAUGCUCUGGCUACAUACCUUCAGGAGAGAAUCAACGCUUACCUUACAACUGCUGACACUAACCGUGAAGCUGGCCACGUUCACAUCCGUGUGCUCUCCAGCAGCAAGAAGACAGUGAAGGUCAAAGAUGCCACCAAAGAAAAGUUUGAGGAGCUAAGUGCUACAUCUUUCCCGGAGGAGUGUCCUUAUGUAGCAGAGUCUGUCUUUGCUUUUGUGGAAAUUGAUGGCAAGGACGUGUGCUUCUUUGGCAUGAUC